AAAAACAUGUCUUUUUGAUAAUAAUUUAAAGUCUAAUCUGCCCACUGAUAAUAUAUUAAAGGGCUGCAGUAUAUUGACUGUACAAAGGUAGCAUAAUCAUUAGUCUUUUAAUUGAAGACUUGUAUGAAAGAUUUGAUGAAAUAUAAACUGUCUCUAAUUUAUGUUUAGAAAUUAAUUUUUUAGUUAAAAAGCUAAAAUAAUAUUAAAAGACGAGAAGACCCUAUAGAGUUUUAUAUUUUAUUUAAUUAAUAUUAAAUAUAUAAUUAAAUAUAUUAAUUAAAUAAAAUAUUGUGUUGGGGUGAUAGAAAAAUUUAAUAAACUUUUUUUAAAAUUAAACAUAAAUAAGUGAUUAGUUGAUCCAUUAAUAAUGAUUAAAAGAAAAAAUUACCUUAGGGAUAACAGCGUAAUAUUUUUUUUUAGUACAUAUAAAAAAAAAAGUUUGCGACCUCGAUGUUGGAUUAAGAUAAAAUUUAAAUGCAAAAGUUUAAAAUUUUGAUCUGUUCGAUCAUUAAAAUCUUACAUGAUC
RNAcentral lists this ribosomal RNA (526 nucleotides) under Junonia orithya. Its description in RNAcentral is "partial 16S ribosomal RNA". The stretch from base 395 to 526 matches the Rfam family "Bacterial large subunit ribosomal RNA", at positions 2473 to 2605 of the family's 2925-position model. The record is from RNAcentral. Lineage: Eukaryota; Metazoa; Arthropoda; Insecta; Lepidoptera; Nymphalidae.